This 2907-nucleotide ribosomal RNA is filed under the name Escherichia coli. Its description in RNAcentral is "partial 23S ribosomal RNA". It matches the Rfam family "Bacterial large subunit ribosomal RNA". The record is from RNAcentral. Lineage: Bacteria; Pseudomonadati; Pseudomonadota; Gammaproteobacteria; Enterobacterales; Enterobacteriaceae.
GUUAAGCGACUAAGCGUACACGGUGGAUGCCCUGGCAGUCAGAGGCGAUGAAGGACGUGCUAAUCUGCGAUAAGCGUCGGUAAGGUGAUAUGAACCGUUAUAACCGGCGAUUUCCGAAUGGGGAAACCCAGUGUGUUUCGACACACUAUCAUUAACUGAAUCCAUAGGUUAAUGAGGCGAACCGGGGGAACUGAAACAUCUAAGUACCCCGAGGAAAAGAAAUCAACCGAGAUUCCCCCAGUAGCGGCGAGCGAACGGGGAGGAGCCCAGAGCCUGAAUCAGUGUGUGUGUUAGUGGAAGCGUCUGGAAAGGCGCGCGAUACAGGGUGACAGCCCCGUACACAAAAAUGCACAUGCUGUGAGCUCGAUGAGUAGGGCGGGACACGUGGUAUCCUGUCUGAAUAUGGGGGGACCAUCCUCCAAGGCUAAAUACUCCUGACUGACCGAUAGUGAACCAGUACCGUGAGGGAAAGGCGAAAAGAACCCCGGCGAGGGGAGUGAAAAAGAACCUGAAACCGUGUACGUACAAGCAGUGGGAGCCUCUUUUAUGGGGUGACUGCGUACCUUUUGUAUAAUGGGUCAGCGACUUAUAUUCUGUAGCAAGGUUAACCGAAUAGGGGAGCCGAAGGGAAACCGAGUCUUAACUGGGCGUUAAGUUGCAGGGUAUAGACCCGAAACCCGGUGAUCUAGCCAUGGGCAGGUUGAAGGUUGGGUAACACUAACUGGAGGACCGAACCGACUAAUGUUGAAAAAUUAGCGGAUGACUUGUGGCUGGGGGUGAAAGGCCAAUCAAACCGGGAGAUAGCUGGUUCUCCCCGAAAGCUAUUUAGGUAGCGCCUCGUGAAUUCAUCUCCGGGGGUAGAGCACUGUUUCGGCAAGGGGGUCAUCCCGACUUACCAACCCGAUGCAAACUGCGAAUACCGGAGAAUGUUAUCACGGGAGACACACGGCGGGUGCUAACGUCCGUCGUGAAGAGGGAAACAACCCAGACCGCCAGCUAAGGUCCCAAAGUCAUGGUUAAGUGGGAAACGAUGUGGGAAGGCCCAGACAGCCAGGAUGUUGGCUUAGAAGCAGCCAUCAUUUAAAGAAAGCGUAAUAGCUCACUGGUCGAGUCGGCCUGCGCGGAAGAUGUAACGGGGCUAAACCAUGCACCGAAGCUGCGGCAGCGACACUAUGUGUUGUUGGGUAGGGGAGCGUUCUGUAAGCCUGUGAAGGUGUACUGUGAGGUAUGCUGGAGGUAUCAGAAGUGCGAAUGCUGACAUAAGUAACGAUAAAGCGGGUGAAAAGCCCGCUCGCCGGAAGACCAAGGGUUCCUGUCCAACGUUAAUCGGGGCAGGGUGAGUCGACCCCUAAGGCGAGGCCGAAAGGCGUAGUCGAUGGGAAACAGGUUAAUAUUCCUGUACUUGGUGUUACUGCGAAGGGGGGACGGAGAAGGCUAUGUUGGCCGGGCGACGGUUGUCCCGGUUUAAGCGUGUAGGCUGGUUUUCCAGGCAAAUCCGGAAAAUCAAGGCUGAGGCGUGAUGACGAGGCACUACGGUGCUGAAGCAACAAAUGCCCUGCUUCCAGGAAAAGCCUCUAAGCAUCAGGUAACAUCAAAUCGUACCCCAAACCGACACAGGUGGUCAGGUAGAGAAUACCAAGGCGCUUGAGAGAACUCGGGUGAAGGAACUAGGCAAAAUGGUGCCGUAACUUCGGGAGAAGGCACGCUGAUAUGUAGGUGAAGCGACUUGCUCGUGGAGCUGAAAUCAGUCGAAGAUACCAGCUGGCUGCAACUGUUUAUUAAAAACACAGCACUGUGCAAACACGAAAGUGGACGUAUACGGUGUGACGCCUGCCCGGUGCCGGAAGGUUAAUUGAUGGGGUCAGCGCAAGCGAAGCUCUUGAUCGAAGCCCCGGUAAACGGCGGCCGUAACUAUAACGGUCCUAAGGUAGCGAAAUUCCUUGUCGGGUAAGUUCCGACCUGCACGAAUGGCGUAAUGAUGGCCAGGCUGUCUCCACCCGAGACUCAGUGAAAUUGAACUCGCUGUGAAGAUGCAGUGUACCCGCGGCAAGACGGAAAGACCCCGUGAACCUUUACUAUAGCUUGACACUGAACAUUGAGCCUUGAUGUGUAGGAUAGGUGGGAGGCUUUGAAGUGUGGACGCCAGUCUGCAUGGAGCCGACCUUGAAAUACCACCCUUUAAUGUUUGAUGUUCUAACGUUGACCCGUGAUCCGGGUUGCGGACAGUGUCUGGUGGGUAGUUUGACUGGGGCGGUCUCCUCCUAAAGAGUAACGGAGGAGCACGAAGGUUGGCUAAUCCUGGUCGGACAUCAGGAGGUUAGUGCAAUGGCAUAAGCCAGCUUGACUGCGAGCGUGACGGCGCGAGCAGGUGCGAAAGCAGGUCAUAGUGAUCCGGUGGUUCUGAAUGGAAGGGCCAUCGCUCAACGGAUAAAAGGUACUCCGGGGAUAACAGGCUGAUACCGCCCAAGAGUUCAUAUCGACGGCGGUGUUUGGCACCUCGAUGUCGGCUCAUCACAUCCUGGGGCUGAAGUAGGUCCCAAGGGUAUGGCUGUUCGCCAUUUAAAGUGGUACGCGAGCUGGGUUUAGAACGUCGUGAGACAGUUCGGUCCCUAUCUGCCGUGGGCGCUGGAGAACUGAGGGGGGCUGCUCCUAGUACGAGAGGACCGGAGUGGACGCAUCACUGGUGUUCGGGUUGUCAUGCCAAUGGCACUGCCCGGUAGCUAAAUGCGGAAGAGAUAAGUGCUGAAAGCAUCUAAGCACGAAACUUGCCCCGAGAUGAGUUCUCCCUGACUCCUUGAGAGUCCUGAAGGAACGUUGAAGACGACGACGUUGAUAGGCCGGGUGUGUAAGCGCAGCGAUGCGUUGAGCUAACCGGUACUAAUGAACCGUGAGGCUUAACCUUACAAC